RNAcentral lists this ribosomal RNA (253 nucleotides) under uncultured bacterium. RNAcentral's name for it is "partial 16S ribosomal RNA". It matches the Rfam family "Bacterial small subunit ribosomal RNA", at positions 524 to 776 of the family's 1533-position model. The record is from RNAcentral.
UACGUAGGGGGCGAGCGUUGUCCGGAUUUAUUGGGCGUAAAGAGCGCGUAGGCGGCCGUUCGCGUCGGAUGUGAAAGCUCGGGGCUCAACCCUGAGAGGCCAUUCGAUACGGGACGGCUAGAGGUAGGUAGGGGAGAUCGGAAUUCCUGGUGUAGCGGUGAAAUGCGCAGAUAUCAGGAGGAACACCGGUGGCGAAGGCGGAUCUCUGGGCCGAAACUGACGCUGAGGAGCGAAAGCGUGGGGAGCAAACAGG